Molecule: RNA transcript, 1675 nt
Organism: Rosa rugosa (rugosa rose)
Lineage: Eukaryota; Viridiplantae; Streptophyta; Magnoliopsida; Rosales; Rosaceae
Gene name: CAAX prenyl protease 1 homolog
Exons: 15
Source: RefSeq, a predicted model, not a curated record
AAGACUACUACAAUGUAUAUUCUUUCUUUGGUGACUCCAGGUCUACUACUACGACUACUACAUAUUGAUACCAUAGAUUGUUUGUUUUGGACAAAACCUUUCUCUACGCACCUUCAGACUAAGCCAUGGCGUUCCCAUUCUUGGAAGUAGUUGUUGGUUCUAUGAUAUUGAUGUACAUAUUUGAAACUUACUUGGAUUUGAGGCAACAUUCAGCACUCAAACUUCCAACACUUCCUAAAACUUUGGAAGGACUAAUCAGCCAAGAGAAGUUUGAGAAGUCGCGAGCCUACCGUCUUGAAAGAAGCCACUUCCGUUUUCUUUGUCAGUUAGUGAGAAUACUUGUGGAAUCAGCAAUUUUGUUCUUUAAGGUUUUGCCUUGGUUUUGGAAGAAAUCAGGACACUUCGUAGAUUUAGUUGGCCUCAACGAAGAAAAUGAAAUACUACAUACCCUUGCAUUUUUAGCUGGUGUGAUGAUUUGGUUAGAGAUCACAAAUUUACCAUUUUCUCUCUACUCCAUAUUUGUGAUCGAGGCCCGUCAUGGUUUUAAUAAGCGAACAAUAUGGUUAUUUUUUAGUGACAGGCUUAAAGGAAUUUUUCUUUCUGUUAUUCUUGUCCCGCCUAUUGUGUCUGCAGCAAUUUUAAUUGUAAAGAAAGGAGGUGCUUACUCGGUCAUUUAUCUGUGGGUGCUCACGGUUGUUCUUUCUCUUGUUAUGAUGACAAUCUACCCUAUUCUAAUAGCCCCACUCUUUCACAAGUUCACCCCUCUUCCAGAGGGUCAGCUACGAGAGAAAAUUGAGACGCUUGCUUCAUCCCUUGAGUUUCCAUUGAAGAAACUGUUUGUGGUUGAUGGAUCUACAAGGUCAAGUCACAGCAAUGCCUAUAUGUAUGGAUUUUUUAACAACAAGAGGAUUGUCCUCUAUGAUACGCUGAUUCAGCAGUGCAAAAAUGAUGAGGAAAUUGUAGCUGUUAUAGCUCAUGAGCUAGGCCAUUGGAAGCGUAAUCACAUAGUGUACUUUUUAAUUGCCAACCAGAUCUGUGCACUUCUAUACAUUGGGGGCUAUACUCUUGUGAGGAACUGGAGUAGUCUGUUUCAAAGUUUUGGGUUUCAUACUAGACCACUAAUCAUUGCUCUCAUCAUAUUUCAGUAUGCCAUAACACCUAUUCAAAAUCUAGUAUACUUUGCUGGUAACCUUGUGAGCCGAGCUUUUGAAUAUCAGGCUGAUGCUUUUGCUAAGAAACUUGGUUAUGCCUCUUCGAUCCGAGCCAGUCUUGUUAGGCUACAGGAAGAGAAUUUGUCAGCUAUGAAUAUUGAUCCUUGGUACUCAGCAUAUCACAACACUCACCCCACGCUUGUUGAAAGGUUAGCUGCAAUUGGUCAGACGGACAAGGAGGAAUGCAGUGCAUGAUGAGCCAUGUAACUGUAACUGGGUAAAGUUAAUAGAGGAUGAUACUAUACGGUUGUCUUUGCCUAUUUUCUAGUAGUGCUAAUUGAGAAUAUUCGAGGAUUGUAAGGGUGUCUUUACAUUGCUCACCAAAUGAGAGAUUGUUGGUAGCGGGGAUCGAACUUGUGUGAGUUUACACCUCAAGUCCGCCCUUGCCAACUGAACCAACUCUCAUUGGCGUAUAUGUAUGUAUAUUGACAAGCUUUUCACAUAGUGUUAUCAAUAACUGAGAU